AUCGAGCUGUGGCGGGGAAGUGGCGCUGAUCCUCGGUUCAGUCACGACUCUUUGCACUCAGCAGCUACUUUUGGCGCACAGCUUCUCCCACAUGCAGGCAGCCGGGGAGCCACAUUGUUGCGUAAUUCAAUUUGAAUUGGUUUAUUAAUGAUUUUUGUUAUCUUUUUUUUACCAGAGAAUUUGUGAAGCAGUCAUGUAAUUAAAUGAGGGGAAAACCGUGUUGGCAAACCAUACCUCCAUAAACACCACACUAAGAAUGAACUCAGCCUGGACAUUUUAGGUUAGCCUAAUUAACUGUUAAUUAAACCAAGUAGCAAAUAAUUAAGAGUAAGACUGGUGGCUUUACUAGUAACAACUUCCCUGUUUUACAUUUUAAACAAUUUCCCAAAUGACUUAAGGCGCAAAACUAACCAUAGCAAUGUUAGCUAGCUAAAACAAACAUUAGCAUUAGUACCUAAUUCCAUUGGGGCUCAAUUUUGCCCUUUAUUGCCUGUUUUAAUAAAAGUCUUAUAAUGUAAUAAACAUACCUUUGUUUUAAAUUCCCCUACCCAUAACUGUCCUUGGUUCCCCCGGUUUGUACGUCCUCCAAAGCAUUGUUUUAAAUGUGUGAGACUUCCCUUUCAUGAGAAAUUCUGCUAACGUUAGCUUGCUAGCAUCUUCUCAACAUUUUUUUUUUUCAACAAAUAACUCCAUAACGCCAAACUUAAAAAAAAAUAAAUUAAAAAAACGCACUCAAACGGAUAAACGAAAGUACGGAAUACAUUUCCAGUUUUCCUCAAAAGGUUUUCCUCUCCCAGGAAAGUGAAAAAUAUUCUGUGAUGCUCCUUUUCUCAACUGUGACUGUGUUUCUCAAAGGUAACAGGGCAAUUAGUAAAGAUGGCCGCUGGAGGAGACAUAAUGUCUAAAGCCAACGGCCAAACAUAUGUAAAUGAUGGCUGCACAGAAGAAGCAGAUGGGUCGCUGACCUGCUCUCUUCGGCGGGCCGGGGUGUGCAGAGGCACAAAUGGAGCAGCAGGAGCAGAUGGGAGCGAGACGGAUGAGACGAGGAUGAGACAGAGCUGUGUGCUUAAUAUUUAACCAGUGAAGCAGCAUGCUGCUGCUCCGCCCAGGAGGGGUGGAGGAUAAAAUCAUCACACUGAAGUGACACUGAGUGUAGAGACGCUGGAAUUCACAGGUGGAAAGUUCAGUAAAUGAGUUUAUCUGUGUCGUUAUAUCUGCUGUUCUAUCUUGAAGUUAUAUGAAAGUAAACUUAUAACAUUUCUGUUAUAAGUUUUGUGCUACCCACAACAUAGUGUUGGAGAGACUUGACACUCUUACUCCACACAUUUUCUGUAUGUGGGUAAAAAUAUUCCCCAAAAUUUUUGAUAAUGAAAAAGAAAAAAAUAAUAAUCUCAGUGAUUGAUUGAUACCGUGUAGAAAAUACUGUGUGAAAAUACUCUGGCAAAACUGAACACGCAAGAUCAUUUUACUUGUUCUUUUUUGUUUUUUACUUCACUAUCCUCUGGCAAAAGAGCUGGCCUUGUUAACCCCAGUGAUAACCUCUCUACGCGUCUCUGCCACCUGAUGCAAUUAGAUACACUGCACAUUUAUUGGAUUAUCUCUUUAAAUUGCACAUAUUCUCUAUACUUUAUACUGUGAACUUUUGCAUGUAUUUUUCAAGCUACUGUCUUGUGCAUGAACACCUAUAACAACAAACCACAUUCUAUUCCCAAAUCCAAGUACAUUUUUGAACUCAUAUCUCAUAUUUACUUGGAGUAUUUGUUCAACUUCUGUGUGGUAUUUUGGGUAAAAUAUCAAAGUGAGGCAACUGAUAAAAUACACGUAAGGUGGUGUAUUUAGGGUUAACUAUGUGCUUCGUUUUGAGGGAGGAAGCAGUUCGGUAUUGUGUGCUGGUUUGUUGCAGCACUCUGCAGUGAGUGGAUGUUUAUGAACAUUAAUAGUAUGCUAUAAGAUUAAUAGUGUACUUAUGUGUUUAAUUUGGAUGCAAAUUAGUGGAAACUUUAUAGGAUGCAAGUCGACAAGGAGAAGUGAGGCUCGGCAGCAGCGCCCCCAACAGAGACUUACCAGAACUGCCAACAAGCAGAUCUCCCUCAGGCCACUUCAUUAAUCAACACACACAGGUCUGACACGCACGCACACACACACACACAUGCACACAGGUCUGACACACACACAAACAUCUCACUAUAUUGGCUGCAAACCAGUGUGAACCAGGUUUCACAGAAUUAACACCGUGCCUGUGGACAUCAGUACCCUAUAAACGUCCCCGGGAAAGCCAUGUCGGCCUAAACACUGUUUAAUCAGCAGUCA
This 2310-nucleotide long non-coding RNA is filed under the name Sparus aurata (gilthead seabream). Its description in RNAcentral is "lncRNA (ENSSAUG00010004468.1)". Lineage: Eukaryota; Metazoa; Chordata; Actinopteri; Spariformes; Sparidae. The record is from RNAcentral.